RNAcentral lists this ribosomal RNA (506 nucleotides) under uncultured bacterium. Its description in RNAcentral is "partial 16S ribosomal RNA". It matches the Rfam family "Bacterial small subunit ribosomal RNA", at positions 28 to 523 of the family's 1533-position model. The record is from RNAcentral.
GAUGAACGCUAGCUACAGGCUUAACACAUGCAAGUCGAGGGGUAACGAGAGGAAAGCUUGCUUUCCUUGUCGACGACCGGCGCACGGGUGAGUAACGCGUAUCCAACCUGCCCCCAACUAGGGAAUAACCUUGCGAAAGUAAGACUAAUACCCUAUAAUUUCCUCAGAUGUCAUCUGACGAGGAAUAAAGAUUUAUCGGUUGUGGAUGGGGAUGCGUCUGAUUAGCUUGUUGGCGGGGUAACGGCCCACCAAGGCAACGAUCAGUAGGGGUUCUGAGAGGAAGGACCCCCACAUUGGAACUGAGACACGGUCCAAACUCCUACGGGAGGCAGCAGUGAGGAAUAUUGGUCAAUGGGCGGAAGCCUGAACCAGCCAAGUAGCGUGCAGGAUGACGGCCCUAUGGGUUGUAAACUGCCUUUAUACAGGAAUAAAGUUAGCCACGUGUGGUUAUUUGUAGGUACUGUAUGAAUAAGGACCGGCUAAUUCCGUGCCAGCCGCCGCGGUAA